This 429-nucleotide ribosomal RNA is filed under the name Bacillota bacterium. Its description in RNAcentral is "Firmicutes bacterium partial 16S ribosomal RNA". It matches the Rfam family "Bacterial small subunit ribosomal RNA", at positions 355 to 776 of the family's 1533-position model. Lineage: Bacteria; Bacillati; Bacillota. The record is from RNAcentral.
UAGGGAAUCUUCGGCAAUGGACGGAAGUCUGACCGAGCAACGCCGCGUGCGUGAAGUAGGUUCUCGGAUCGUAAAGCUCUGUUGUUAGCGAAGAACGAUGGUAGGAGUGGAAAAUCUACCAAGCGACUGUAAUUAACCAGAAAGGCACGGCCAACUACGUGCCAGCAGCCGCGGUAAUACGUAGGUCCCGAGCGUUGUCCGUAUUUAUUGGGCGUAAAGCGAGCGCAGGCGGUUCUUUAAGUCUGAAGUUAAAGGCAGUGGCUGAACCAUUGUACGCUUUGGAAACUGGAGGACUUGAGUGCAGAAGGGGAGAGUGGAAUUCCAUGUGUAGGGGUGAAAUGCGUAGAUAUAUGGGGGAACACGGGUGGCGAAAGCGGCUCUCUGGUAUGUAACUGACGCUGAGGCUCGAAAGCGUGGGGAGCAAACAGG